GAAACUUGAAACAAACCCAGACCCAGACAACUCCGCCCUCCCAAGACUGUGAUGACCUGGGAGGGCCUAAGGGAGAAGAGGUGCCACCGGAAACCCAGAGCCCUGCCACCGUCCCCUCCCCUCUACUGCAAGUCCUGGAAGACAGACGUGCCUGCAGGGUGACGUGUCUUCCUCUUUCCCCAGGGCGUAACUCCUUGCUCUAAGACCACAGCGCUGCUGACAUUGAUGGAGCUCCUGUGAACACCGGCUCCUUUGCAGCAAGGGUGUCCUUGGCUCCUCCUUGGGAAGAGAGCACCCAAGGGGCAGUGCCCCGGGUCCUUGAGGAGCUAACACAGCAUGCCUGCUUCAACUUGGGGACAUCACCCUCGCGGUCUCGCUGAUCCAUGCUGAAACACUGAAAAUCCUGUCCUUCUACAUCACUCUCUUCCCAUUCCUCCUUAUUACAGCUGGAGCUACUCGAAGGUAGGUGCCGUGGACUGAAUUGGAAUGGUGUAGGAGGUGGGGCCUCUGGGACUCCAGAGGGCCACCAGGGUGAUGGGAUGGUGGCCCUACAAAGGCCCCACAGACUUUCUACCAUGUGAGGCACCACAUGGAAACCACCUGUCAGAGAAGCCUGAGGACGUUGGAACUGGCGGCUCUCACUCUCAGGGGCGUUUCAGGGAAGGCUGUGCACGUCCGUGCAGCCCUGAGAAGGUACCUGGUGUGGGACCCCGCACGGCCCAGCCCAGGGCCACGCAUGCCCCAGAUCCCCGGGAGCACCGGGCUCUGCCAGACUUCCCUCUCUCCGUCCACCCACUCCCCCAGCCCCCAGUCUUCUCCCUGUUUGGGGCAUCUUUG
RNAcentral lists this long non-coding RNA (837 nucleotides) under Marmota monax (woodchuck). The record is from RNAcentral. Lineage: Eukaryota; Metazoa; Chordata; Mammalia; Rodentia; Sciuridae.